This 2109-nucleotide long non-coding RNA is filed under the name Agrilus planipennis (emerald ash borer). RNAcentral's name for it is "uncharacterized LOC108742404, transcript variant X2". Lineage: Eukaryota; Metazoa; Arthropoda; Insecta; Coleoptera; Buprestidae. The record is from RNAcentral.
UAAAAAAUGCAGCAAAUAGCGGCUGUUGAUGAAAACUGCAAAAGAAUUCAGAGUUACUUCAUAUUGAAACUAAAAUCUGGUUCAUAAUAUAAUCAGUUUAUAAAGAUAAUUUUUUUCCAUCACGUUACCACAGUUGAAAAGUUUAAUCGAUUAAAAAGGACCGAAACUUUCAGAAAAUGCUCAAUGAACCUUCCACCAGAUUCACUGAUUGAGUAGUUGAACAGAUUAAUAAUAAUGUACUUGAACCUUCAGCAAGAAGAUGGCAUGGAAAUUUCCAAAAUAUAGGUUUGUGGACUCCGGGAUUGGUAUCUACAGAUAGUGAAUGGGACACAAUUAGGUAAGGCGCAAUCCUGAGUUACAAUACGCUACAAGUCUCGUUGCUACAAACUGUUUUUGGAAUACUUAAGCUUGAGAAAAGGUACUGUAAAAAUUUCAAUAUAUUCUACUGUAAAAAGCAAAUAUAAUGCAAAAAUUCUUUUCUGAAAAACUAUUCAAAUGGGGAACUAAACAGGAUAAAAUGUUAGCAUGAAUAAAAUAUAAAACAACAAAAUUAAAGCACGAUUGCAUCUAUGAAUAUUAAAAAUUUCGGAAAUCGUCUAUCAUUCCUGACAAGUCGUCAUUUCAAUUUUCAGUCCACCACUUACAGUCCUACUUAAAAUUACUUACUUCGUAUACGUAUGUAUGUAUGUAUGUACAUACCUCUAUCAUUUAUAGAAACCAGUAGAAAUAUAAACACUAUAUAUUUAAAAUGUCAUCCUUUUACAUCUUUUUUUUAUUAUGGAAAAAUCACUUCAACAAGAAAAUACCUUUUUAUAACUUUUACUUCUUAAACAGAAUUUCUUACAUCUGUACAAGACAAAAUUAAUGACGAGAUGUAUAGAUAUGUCUUUGAAUCAGGUCAUUUUUUUUACAAUAUCUUAAAAAUAUAAUGGAUAAGCCUUUUCAUAAUCCCUGCUUUUGCUAUCAAAGUAUCAAAAGCAACAGACAUCAAAAAAAUUAAUUAAUUAAUAAGAAUUUCUUAAUAUGUGAUUAGAGAAGACAUAAUUUAAAUAGGUCACCUUAUAUCGUAAACAAACUGAACCUCCGGUUAUAGUUACAGUUACGAAUAUCCAUUAGUCCAUAGGUCUUAAAAAUCGAUAUUUCCCCGUUUCUGUUGCGAGAUUGGUAUAAAUCCUUAGUAUAUUAGGUACUUCCCCAGUCGUAUUAGCUUAAAAAUCGUUCAUAGUGUCCUAUUGUACACAUUCAUACGUAAGUGUAAUGUAGCAAUGUUUCAAAUUCAAGAAUUAAACGAUGGCUACAAUCUAUUUAUUUUUUUAAUUAGAGAUUAUUACGUAUUAAAUAUAACUGUCAAUCUAUUCCGAGUACAUGGAGAAUUGAAAAGAGUUUACUAAUGUCCUUAAGAUAUACUUUUCAUAUACAUAUUAAUUUAGAAAUAGCUGCUCCACUAUGUCACGCUAAAACUUUUUUGUAUUAAUUUUAAAAUACAUAUUAAUAAAAUAAAUAUAAUGACUUAAUAAUAAAUAGUUUAUAAAUGUGGUUUCCUCCAUUAUAAUUUAUUGGAGGAACGUAGAAAAAAACAACCUUCACAGGGUGAGUAAAGACGACAAACCGCCUCACCACCCUUCCUUACCCGCUUCUCGUGAAGUUGAAUUCAACACAAUUAUACAUAACUAUUUGAGUGAAAAAACUAAUGAGUAUAUGUUAACGUUAUUACUAUACAUAUGUAUUAUGAUCGCAUAAAGAAGCAAUAAUAAAGGUUUAAACUAUUAUUAACUAUUGUUUUCGAUCCUCCAUAUCCUCGGAACAUAUUAACAGAAAUAAUUUUUCAGGAUCUCAAACAUUUAUUAUAUUGAAUAUAACGUUCGUUAACGUGAACAAAUCGAUAACCUGAACACCUGUUUUUUUUUCGGUUCACACUAUCGAGUAUCUACUGUACGUAACAAAAACUAAAAAUUUUAAUACAAUACAUAUUUUUAUUUUGCAUAUACCUUUAUGAAAACUUAAAUACACGGCCAUUCUAUUAAGUAUUUCAUCUAUUUUACAAUAUAUAAUAAGCAAAUACGAUCAUCUUAACGAUUAGCUUUAAUGAAGUUAAUUAAUCCGUUUGUG